RNAcentral lists this small nuclear RNA (318 nucleotides) under Peromyscus maniculatus bairdii (prairie deer mouse). RNAcentral's name for it is "7SK RNA (ENSPEMG00000028189.1)". It matches the Rfam family "7SK RNA". From Rfam's summary of the family: 7SK was discovered as an abundant small nuclear RNA in the mid-70s but a possible function has only recently been suggested. The record is from RNAcentral. Lineage: Eukaryota; Metazoa; Chordata; Mammalia; Rodentia; Cricetidae.
GGAUGUGAGGGUGAUCUGGCGGCCACCUCUGUCACCCCGUUCAUCACCAGGGCUGACUAGGCUGGUGUCCCCUUCCUCCCUCACUGCUCCAUGGGCAUCCCUCCCAAAGCUGAGUGCUCAGUGUACGAGGACGACCUUACCCAAUAGAGGAGGCUCUCUCUGUCUUUGGUCAAGGGUAUACAAGUAGCUGUGCUCCCCUGCUGGAACCUCCAAACAGGCUCUCGAGAUUUUAUUACACACUAGUGGGCAUGGGAGGGGAAUACAGGGCGUAAUGAGAAGUGAGUAUGGCCGAAGUACAUUGUACACAUGGAUGACAUU